AUUGAACGCUGGCGGCAUGCUUUACACAUGCAAGUCGAACGGUAACAGGGUGCUUGCACCGCUGACGAGUGGCGAACGGGUGAGUAAUACAUCGGAACGUGCCCAGUCGUGGGGGAUAACGUAGCGAAAGCUACGCUAAUACCGCAUACGAUCUAAGGAUGAAAGCGGGGGAUCGCAAGACCUCGCGCGAUUGGAGCGGCCGAUGGCAGAUUAGGUAGUUGGUAGGGUAAAGGCCUACCAAGCCGACGAUCUGUAGCUGGUCUGAGAGGAUGAUCAGCCACACUGGGACUGAGACACGGCCCAGACUCCUACGGGAGGCAGCAGUGGGGAAUUUUGGACAAUGGGCGCAAGCCUGAUCCAGCCAUUCCGCGUGCAGGAUGAAGGCCUUCGGGUUGUAAACUGCUUUUGUACAGAGCGAAAAGGCUCUGGUUAAUACCCGGGGCUCAUGACGGUACUGUAAGAAUAAGCACCGGCUAACUACGUGCCAGCCGCCGCCGUAA
This 500-nucleotide ribosomal RNA is filed under the name uncultured bacterium. Its description in RNAcentral is "partial 16S ribosomal RNA". It matches the Rfam family "Bacterial small subunit ribosomal RNA", at positions 30 to 523 of the family's 1533-position model. The record is from RNAcentral.